RNAcentral lists this ribosomal RNA (440 nucleotides) under uncultured bacterium. Its description in RNAcentral is "partial 16S ribosomal RNA". It matches the Rfam family "Bacterial small subunit ribosomal RNA", at positions 338 to 795 of the family's 1533-position model. The record is from RNAcentral.
CCUACGGGAGGCUGCAGUGGGGAAUAUUGCACAAUGGGGGAAACCCUGAUGCAGCGACGCCGCGUGAGCGAAGAAGUAUUUCGGUAUGUAAAGCUCUAUCAGCAGGGAAGAAAAUGACGGUACCUGAGUAAGAAGCUCCGGGUAAAUACGUACCAGCAUCCGCGGAAAUACUUAGGGAGCAAGCGUUAUCCGGAUUUACUGGGCGUUAAGGGAGCGUAGGCGGGAUGCCAAGUCUGAUGUGAAAUACCGGGGCUCAACCCCGGGGCUGCAGUGGAAACUGGCAGGCUGGAGUGGCGGAGAGGGAGGCGGAAUUCGUGGUGUAGCGGUGAAAUGCGUAGAUAUUAGGAGGAACACCAGUGGCGAAGGCGGCCGGCUGGACGGUGACUGACGCUGAGGCUCGAAAGCGUGGGGAGCGAACAGGAUUAGAUACCCUUGUAGUC